AUUUGGUGUGAAAGCAAACUAGGUUGUCAUGGCUAGAUGUUUUCUGGUUGGCUAAUAUUUUACACGUAAAUAUGGCAAUCAUGCUACAGAUAACUGUCUUAUCUGCUGGCAGAUAACUCGUAUGAAUAAGCGAUGUUUUUCUGAAAGUUCUUGUACAAAGAAACACAUUUUGGAACUUUCCAUUGCAUAAAAUUGAGUAGGUUGACUAUCAGACUUGAAAAACCAAUAAUAUAGAGAAUUUAAUUUUUACCAAAAAUGAAAUAACUGGCGUUGUUAUGGUUACCAUGAUAUUUGAAAUGUCUUUUGUUUUAGUUUCAAAGUCAUCAAAUUUUUCACGUGCUGGUUGUAGCAGGAGCAUUUGUCCACCUUCAUGGUGUCUGCCAGAUGGCUUACUACAGAUAUACCGUGGGAUCAUGUCCUGGAUAGUUCAUGGCACAGCAAUAUAUUAGUAAGCUAGUAUGUAAAUGUCAUUCAAUUUAUAUAUUGCAUUCCUUGGUGUAAAUUGUUAUAAAUAAAUAAUAAUAUACAUGAAAAUAAUUCUCGAUUCUUCUUGGCUAAGAAGAGUACAAUGCUAUGAUCGAAAUACUUUAUACCAAAAAAGAAAUAUUUGGAAAGCGUCAAAACAAAAGAUAUUUUGAUUUAAGUUUUGACUUCUGACAAUUCUAUUACAAGUUGACGUUUGUGAUGUUACUCUGAGUGUAUAUCCACAUCACAAACAUAUUAUUCACCUGAGUACACAACACCGGUACCAACACAGAAAAAAAUCUAUUACAAGUUGUUGUGUCAUUCAUAUGAGUGAGUUUCAGGCAUGCAAAUGACUGCAUAUUUUUUUCAUGUACAUUAUUAGUAUAAGUAAUAGUAUGGUUUCCCAUGCAAUUUGGAAAAAACAAAUCUUGAUCGUCUUUAAAAGGCCAUUCGUGCAUGCUUUCCAAAUUGCACUCGAAGCCAUACUAUUACGAAAUGAAUGCAAUUCCGAAAAUUGAGUGUUUUAGAAUCAUGUUUUGAUUAAUAAUCUUAUAUGUGUUUUUAUGUGUGUUAAAAUCGUGCUUUGAUUAAUAAAAUCAUGAUUUUAACACUUAAUUUUCGGAAUUGCAUUAAUUUAUUAUAAAUAAUUAUGAGUAAUUUUCAGUGGUUAAGGUAUAAAUAUUAUUUCUAGUUGAUUUGAUGUAAACAUUUGGGUAUAUAAUUAAUUUAGGUAAUAACUUAAUAUAACACAACGUGUAUUUGCAGUAUGAUCAAAAAUUUUAUUUUCUUAAACGAAAGUGCUCGUAAAACGGUAUAAUAACUUGUUUUGAAGAUUUUUGUUCGCAUGCUUAGUUCUUGAGAUAUUUCAUUUUGUUUGUAACCAUGUGACGUCAUUUACUCAAUUACAUAUAUAAUGAGAUAUCAGUAAUUGACUAAUUGUUGUGUAUCUUUGCUAUUUUUAUCAAAAUAUUUCGAAAGAUGUUUGUUAAUUUAACCUGCAUCAUUACAGUUGAUUUCAUAUAACUUUUCCCUGAAUGUUCGUUCCGAACUUCGUUGUGAAGUUCAAAAGUUCAUACUGAAAUUUACAAGCCGGUUUGUAAACAAAGCCUCUGAUUGGUCACUGAACAAAAAUAAGCCAAUCAGAAGCUUUGUUUACAAACCGGCUUGCGAAAUUCAGUAUGAACUUUUGAAGUUCGGAACGAAGUUCGCAACAUUCAGGGAAAAGUUACGUGAAAUCAACUGUAAGCAUACUGUGUUUUUUAACAAAUCGAUCAAAAAUAGCAAAGAUACACAACAAUUACUGAUAUCUCAUUAUAUAUGUAAUUGAGUAGAUGACGUCACAUGGUUACAAACAAAAGAAAUAUCUCGAGAACUAAGCAUGGGAACAAAAAUCUUCAAAACAAGUUAUUAUACAGUUUUACGAGCAUUUUCGUUUAACCUUUGGUUUAAGAGAAUAAAAUUUUUGAUCAUACUGCCCCUUUAAAGUAUUCUUGUACAUGUAAUUUACUGCAGAGUUUUGAAUACUUACUCAAGUUUAGACUUUAGAGUAAUGAAUCUGAUAAUUAACAGAACUAUUUGCCAAGGUAUUGGGCAGGUCCAAUAACACUGAUCAAGUUGCUCUCUCGUCAUGUUGUAGAUUAUCUUUCAGAUGGUUGAAGAACGUAACAAUGAUAACGAACAUUAGACAAAGAAUAUUGCCUAUUAUUAAAGAACUGUUGAAUGAGGUUGAGCAUGAUAUGAAGAAUUAUCAAGCUAUAGAAGUUUGUGUUAAGAAUGAGGUAGAAGAUGUUAAGAAUUAUCAAACUCAGGGCUUGAUGUGAAAAAUUACCAAAUUGAGUGCUUGAUAAUUCUUCAUAUCUGGCGAAAACCGAAUUCGAUAAUUGUUUUAUUAUUUAUUGUGGAUUCAAUUCGUCGAAAUAAUGACCAGUUCAUUUUUUCAUAGUCAACGUUAUUACGUCAGUCGUUGAAUAUUAUGUCAAAACUCCAUAUUUGGUCAGCUAUUAACUUGACGUGAUGAUUUCACAGUUGGCUCUUAAGCCAAUCAGAAACCAUGAAUUUUAAAUAAAUAGUAAAACUAAUUAUUGAAUUCUGUUUUCGCAAGAUGUGAAGAAUUAUCAAGCCCUUAUAGUUUGUGUUAUCUUCGGGAUUGAUAUUCUUUAUAUCCUGCUCAACCUCAUUCAAUAUUUUUUAAUUAUUAAUUGACUCAUAAAACUCUCAAGAUUUAUAAAUGCAUGCGAUGUAACCUGAUUAAUAGAUUUAUAGCGUAAUUCUCAUUUUUGAGAGUGAAGGGAUGUACGAAAACAAAAAAUACAAUAUUUAAACAUGCU
Molecule: long non-coding RNA, 2792 nt
Filed under: Paramuricea clavata
Lineage: Eukaryota; Metazoa; Cnidaria; Anthozoa; Malacalcyonacea; Plexauridae
Source: RNAcentral